This is a non-coding RNA of Stegodyphus mimosarum, 73 nucleotides long. Lineage: Eukaryota; Metazoa; Arthropoda; Arachnida; Araneae; Eresidae. The record is from Rfam.
GGUUUCGUGGUGUAGUGGUCAGCACGCUCGACGCGUAAUCGACAGAUCCGUGGUUCGAUUCCCGGCGAAGGCG